GUAGGUGGCAAGCGUUGUCCGGGAAUUAUUGGGGCGUAAAGCGCGCGCAGGCGGUUCUUUAAGUCUGAUGUGAAAGCCCACGGGCUCAACCGUGGAGGGUCAUUGGAAACUGGAGAACUUGAGUACAGAAGAGGAAAGCGGAAUUCCACGUGUAGCGGUGAAAUGCGUAGAGAUGUGGAGGAACACCAGUGGCGAAGGCGGCUUUCUGGUCUGUGACUGACGCUGAGGCGCGAAAGCGUGGGGAGCAAACAGGAUUAGAUACCCUGGUAGUCCACGCCGUAAACGAUGAGUGCUAAGUGUUAGGGGGUUUCCGCCCCUUAGUGCUGCAGCUAACGCAUUAAGCACUCCGCCUGGGGAGUACGGCCGCAAAGGCUG
This 375-nucleotide ribosomal RNA is filed under the name uncultured organism. RNAcentral describes it as "partial 16S ribosomal RNA". It matches the Rfam family "Bacterial small subunit ribosomal RNA", at positions 527 to 896 of the family's 1533-position model. The record is from RNAcentral.